AUUGAACGCUGGCGGCAGGCCUAACACAUGCAAGUCGAACGGUAACAGGAAGCAGCUUGCUGCUUUGCUGACGAGUGGCGGACGGGUGAGUAAUGUCUGGGAAACUGCCCGAUGGAGGGGGAUAACUACUGGAAACGGUAGCUAAUACCGCAUAACGUCGCAAGACCAAAGAGGGGGACCUUAGGGCCUCUUGCCAUCGGAUGUGCCCAGAUGGGAAUAGCUAGUAGGUGGGGUAACGGCUCACCUAGGCGACGAUCCCUAGCUGGUCUGAGAGGAUGACCAGCCACACUGGAACUGAGACACGGUCCAGACUCCUACGGGAGGCAGCAGUGGGGAAUAUUGCACAAUGGGCGCAAGCCUGAUGCAGCCAUGCCGCGUGUAUGAAGAAGGCCUUCGGGUUGUAAAGUACUUUCAGCGGGGAGGAAGGGAGUAAAGUUAAUACCUUUGCUCAUUGACGUUACCCGCAGAAGAAGCACCGGCUAACUCCGUG
Molecule: ribosomal RNA, 490 nt
Filed under: uncultured bacterium
Lineage: Bacteria
Description: partial 16S ribosomal RNA
Rfam family: Bacterial small subunit ribosomal RNA
Source: RNAcentral